GUGGGGAAUCUUAGACAAUGGGCGCAAGCCUGAUCUAGCCAUGCCGCGUGAGUGAUGAAGGCCCUAGGGUUGUAAAGCUCUUUCAGCUGGGAAGAUAAUGACGGUAACCGGAGAAGAAGCCCCGGCUAACUUCGUGCCAGCAGCCGCGGUAAUACGAAGGGGGCUAGCGUUGUUCGGAUUUACUGGGCGUAAAGCGCACGUAGGCGGACUUUUAAGUCAGGGGUGAAAUCCCGGGGCUCAACCCCGGAACUGCCUUUGAUACUGGAAGUCUUGAGUAUGGAAGAGGUAAGUGGAAUUGCGAGUGUAGAGGUGAAAUUCGUAGAUAUUCGCAGGAACACCAGUGGCGAAGGCGGCUUACUGGUCCAUUACUGACGCUGAGGUGCGAAAGCGUGGGGAGCAAACAGGAUUAGAUACCCCAGUAGUCC
RNAcentral lists this ribosomal RNA (425 nucleotides) under uncultured bacterium. RNAcentral's name for it is "bacterial SSU rRNA". It matches the Rfam family "Bacterial small subunit ribosomal RNA", at positions 354 to 796 of the family's 1533-position model. The record is from RNAcentral.